RNAcentral lists this ribosomal RNA (1107 nucleotides) under human gut metagenome. RNAcentral describes it as "bacterial LSU rRNA". It matches the Rfam family "Bacterial large subunit ribosomal RNA", at positions 1104 to 2234 of the family's 2925-position model. The record is from RNAcentral.
GCUCAGAAGCAGCCACUCAUUUAAAGAGUGCGUAACAGCUCACUAGUCGAGAGGUCUAGCGCCGAAAAUGUCCGGGGCUAAAACACACCACCGAAGCUACGGAAUUACCUAUGGUAAUUGGUAGAGGAGCAUUCUGUAAGGAUGAAGCACAAUUGAAAGAGAGUGUGGACGAAACAGAAGAGAGAAUGCCGGAAUGAGUAGCGAGAUAUAUGUGAGAAUCAUAUAGGUCGAAUGUCUAAGGUUUCCUGGGUAAAGCUGAUCUGCUCAGGGUAAGUCGGGACCUAAGGUGAGGGCGAGAGCCGUAAUCGAUGGACAACAGGUAGAAAUUCCUGUACUACGUAUAAUCAGAACUGUGGGGACGCAGGAGGAUAGGAAAACCGGAGAAUGGAAAAAUCCGGCUAAGUACAAAGGUGUGAGUGAUAGGCAAAUCCGUCACUAUUAGCUGAAGUACGAAUGGGAGCGAAGAAAAGUAGCGAAGUUUCUGAAUCCACACUGUCAAGAAAAGCCGCUAUUGCGUUAUACGUACCCGUACCGCAAACCGACACAGGUAGACGAGGAGAAAAUCCACAGACCGACGGGAGAAGUGUUGUUAAGGAACUCGGCAAAAUGACCCCGUAACUUAGGGAUAAGGGGAGCCAACGCAAGUUGGUCACAGAAAAGAGGCUCAAGCGACUGUUUAGCAAAAACAUAGGUCUAUGCGAAACCGUAAGGUGAUGUAUAUGGGCUGACACCUGCCCGGUGCUGGAAGGUCAAAAGGAGAGGUUAGCGUAAGCGAAGCUUUGAAUUCAAGCCCCAGUAAACGGCGGCCGUAACUAUAACGGUCCUAAGGUAGCGAAAUUCCUUGUCAGGUAAGUUCUGACCCGCACGAAAGGUGUAACGAUUUGAGCACUGUCUCGACAACACGCCCGGUGAAAUUGAAGAACCAGUGAAGAUACUGGUUACCCGCAACAGGACGGAAAGACCCCAUGGAGCUUUACUGCAGCUUAAUAUUGGGAUUCGGUAUUGUAUGUACAGGAUAGGAGGGAGACUAAGAAGCUAGCACGCCAGUGUUGGUGGAGUCGAUGGUGGGAUACCUCUCUUAUAAUACUGAAUUUCUAACCUACUUCC